UACGAGGGGGGCGAGCGUUGUUCGGAAUUAUUGGGCGUAAAGGGUGCGUAGGCGGUUCCGCAAGUCCUGUGUGAAAUCUUCGGGCUCAACUCGAAGUCUGCACGGGAAACUGCGGGGCUUGAGUGUGGGAGAGGUGAGUGGAAUUCCCGGUGUAGCGGUGAAAUUCGUAGAUAUUGGGAAGAACACCGGUGGCGAAGGCGGCUCACUGGCUCAUUACUGACGCUCAGGCGCGAUAGCGUGGGGAUCAAACAGG
RNAcentral lists this ribosomal RNA (253 nucleotides) under uncultured bacterium. RNAcentral's name for it is "partial 16S ribosomal RNA". It matches the Rfam family "Bacterial small subunit ribosomal RNA", at positions 524 to 776 of the family's 1533-position model. The record is from RNAcentral.